UAGGGAAUCUUCGGCAAUGGACGAAAGUCUGACCGAGCAACGCCGCGUGAGUGAAGAAGGUUUUCGGAUCGUAAAACUCUGUUGUUAGAGAAGAACAAGGACGUUAGUAACUGAACGUCCCCUGACGGUAUCUAACCAGAAAGCCACGGCUAACUACGUGCCAGCAGCCGCGGUAAUACGUAGGUGGCAAGCGUUGUCCGGAUUUAUUGGGCGUAAAGCGAGCGCAGGCGGUUUCUUAAGUCUGAUGUGAAAGCCCCCGGCUCAACCGGGGAGGGUCAUUGGAAACUGGGAGACUUGAGUGCAGAAGAGGAGAGUGGAAUUCCAUGUGUAGCGGUGAAAUGCGUAGAUAUAUGGAGGAACACCAGUGGCGAAGGCGGCUCUCUGGUCUGUAACUGCCGCUGAGGCUCGAAAGCGUGGGGAGCAAACAGG
Molecule: ribosomal RNA, 429 nt
Filed under: Gemmatimonadota bacterium
Lineage: Bacteria; Pseudomonadati; Gemmatimonadota
Description: Gemmatimonadetes bacterium partial 16S ribosomal RNA
Rfam family: Bacterial small subunit ribosomal RNA
Source: RNAcentral